UACGUAGGGUGCAGGCGUUAAUCGGAAUUACUGGGCGUAAAGCGUGCGCAGGCGGCGGCUCAAGUCAGGUGUGAAAUCCCCGGGCUUAACCUGGGAAUUGCGCUUGAAACUAGGCUGCUUGAGUGUGGCAGAGGGGGGUGGAAUUCCACGUGUAGCAGUGAAAUGCGUAGAGAUGUGGAGGAACACCGAUGGCGAAGGCAGCCCCCUGGGCCAAUACUGACGCUCAUGCACGAAAGCGUGGGGAGCAAACAGG
Molecule: ribosomal RNA, 253 nt
Filed under: uncultured bacterium
Lineage: Bacteria
Description: partial 16S ribosomal RNA
Rfam family: Bacterial small subunit ribosomal RNA
Source: RNAcentral